Molecule: ribosomal RNA, 449 nt
Filed under: uncultured bacterium
Lineage: Bacteria
Description: partial 16S ribosomal RNA
Rfam family: Bacterial small subunit ribosomal RNA
Source: RNAcentral
AACGAACGCUGGCGGCAGGCUUAACACAUGCAAGUCGAACGCACCUUUCGGGGUGAGUGGCAGACGGGUGAGUAACGCGUGGGAAUCUACCCUUCUCUACGGGAUAGCUCCGGGAAACUGGAAUUAAUACCGUAUACGUCCUGAGGGAGAAAGAUUUAUCGGGGAAGGAUGAGCCCGCGUUGGAUUAGCUAGUUGGUGGGGUAAAGGCCUACCAAGGCGACGAUCCAUAGCUGGUCUAAGAGGAUGAUCAGCCACAUUGGGACUGAGACACGGCCCAAACUCCUACGGGAGGCAGCAGUGGGGAAUAUGGGACAAUGGGCGAAAGCCUGAUCCAGCCAUGCCGCGUGAGUGAUGAAGGCCCUAGGGUUGAAAAGCUCUUUCAGUGGGGACGAUAAUGACGGUACCCACAGAAGAAGCCCCGGCUAACUUCGUGCCAGCAGCCGCCGUAA